Molecule: small nucleolar RNA, 158 nt
Organism: Camelus dromedarius (Arabian camel)
Lineage: Eukaryota; Metazoa; Chordata; Mammalia; Artiodactyla; Camelidae
Gene: U3
Rfam family: Small nucleolar RNA U3
About the family: Small nucleolar RNAs (snoRNAs) are involved in the processing and modification of rRNA in the nucleolus.
Source: Ensembl
AAGACUAUACUUUCAGGGAUCAUUUCUAUAGUUCGUUACUAGAGAAGUUUCUCUCAACGUAUAGAGCACCCGAACCACAUGAUCAUCUUAAUAGAUGCAGAAAAAGCAUUUGAUAAAAUUCAACACCCAUUUAUGAUAAAAACUCUCACCAAAGUGGG